UGUGGUACAAUGCAGUAAUAGAUAAUUUGCGUUUUGGUGAAUAGGACCUCUGUAUGUGAUUUGAAACUAAGUAUUUGAUAGUCCAAGCUCUCUUAUCGUCCCUCCCCUCCCCACUUUCUGCUUCCUUUCUAGCAGCAGGCACAUUUGAAGAAAAUGAUGGAGUUUCAGAGCAAGAAAAUGUAUAACAUGAUAGCAGAUAGGCAGUGUGAAAUCUGUACCUUCUUGCCCUUGCCUGAGGUGUAGAAUGCCCUUAAUAGUAUGUGAGACCUAGGCUCACCUGCUAAUAAUUUAUAAUUUACUGUCCUAAUUCAUCGAUUUGUUACCACUAAUUGUACUUCAUUUACUUCUGUGUAGUUUCCAGUACCUAAAGGGUUGAAAGGUUGCUGUAAUUGGCACCCGCAGCUGCUCUAUCUUUUGACAGGGGAUAAUUUUGCAGCCUAUGCUUUGUGUGACAGCUGCCUAAUUGGGCAUUCUCCCCUUGUAGCGAGCCUGCCUCCUCCAGCCUCCCUGCUGACAAAUGGUGGUGGAUUAUAGAUGAGGACAUGCUGACCCAUUCGACCUUGCUGAGACAGCGGGGAGGGGCCUCCUGCUACUUCAGGGAAGCUUUGGGUCAUUUAAAGGACAAGGUCAUGAGCCAGGUGGGGGAAAUGACAUGAUAUCACAUGACAAUAGCCUGAUGACACGGUCAUUAUGUCAAGGACAAACUGAUCAGUAUUGAUUUUGCUUCUGCCUUUAUGAUUUGUCACCGAAAGCACUGAUACUUCAAAAGUAUUUUGCCAGUUUACAGGAGAUGAAAUGCCAAAUGAUAUGAGGGUUUCCCCCCCCUUUUUUUCUGCAUGCAGAUCACACAUGUAAUAAAGCUCUGUUGAUAAUGAGUCAGAUUCUCAAUCUUACUGCCUAGGAAAUACUACAGUUUCUGAUAAGAGCUUUUGACAAAUUCCAGGUAUCCAGUUGCUGCUGAAUAUUUUAACGUUAAAUUCCAGUUUACAAAUGUAUAGCCAACAUUACACAUAUCUAGUGAUUUAUUAUAACUUUAUGGAUAACAGAAAAGAGGCUACAUAUAAGUGAUUUGGUGAAUCUAUAUAAUGUGUAAAUAUUCAAGUGAUAUCAACUGUUGUGAAGAAUCAAAGCACACUAUCCCAACUUUGGCAGGCCAAAAGAAAAACAAAAAAGCAAAACCCAGCUUCUAAUUAUUUACAAUAAACAUGCUUGUAAAGGUGAUGAUUUUACAAGUGUUUUAAACUUUGUUCCAUGCUGAUAAACACCAGGCUGAAUGACAGAACGUUUGACAUUUCUAAUUUUAGACAAUAUUAAAUAUUUAUAAUAUUUAUAACAAUUGGCAAUUGACAGUUGGCGUGUUUUGUUCUGUUUUUCCUUCCUUCAAAAAUUUUCUUCUGAAAUCUGUUAACGUCAGUUCUAAUGUUAGGAGCAUACUUUCAUUUAAUUUAUGCUUUUCUGGAAUUACUAAUACUUUUUAGGUUCAAAACUGUCAACCUUUCUGCACAGAAAACACACUUCGCCGCCUGUCAUUUUGGUGAAAAGAGAAUUAGUGUUGGCUGCUCCUGUGCCCAAAUCCUCGCAUCUCGCUAGGAAGUAAUUUUAAUUCCCCGAGGUAAAAAGCCAUCAAUAGUAAAGUAUGAUGAAUUAGUUCACUCAAGUAGGUGUGUGUUUUCUGACCUUGCUGUGCAUGUGUUUAGCUACUCUCAGUGGCUGAGUCAAGCUUGGUGGAGGCUUAAUCCUGUGCCCUUGUACACGUAUACUUGAUUAGUAGUUGUGGUUAUCUCAGCAGAAGACAUUCCGCCCUCCUCCUGGUAUUGGUUGGGACCCAGGCAUUGGGGAGUAAAGUCGAAGGAGAAAGAAAAGAGAUUUUGCAUUAGUAUUCUAUGAAAGCCUUACUGUCUGCAGAACAAAUUGAUUGCUACAGUGUACCUGUGCUUGGCACCACUGCUGUGAAAGAAAGGUAUGGUUGUAAUCUGUUUUAUUGUAUUACCUAUUGUCACACUCCAGGAAUGUUUAGCAUCAAGCUCUUUCUUUGGCACAUGGCUAUAUGGUAAAGGAAUGAAAUAAAGGAAUGGAAAAGUAUGAGAGGGUGUAUCUUUGUUCACUACAGUAAACUAUGUAGCCAGUUGUAAUGAGGCACGUUUUUUCCUGUAUAUUCCAGUAGUAGCAUAAAUGGAAUGCUAACAAAAAUGUAUGUCAGUGUUUUGCAACAUGCAGAGAUGGAUGGAAUGACAAGUAAUUUUGUAAGUUCUGAACAACCAGAGGAAUAGGAGAAAUAUUUGUUUGUGAACAUGGUUUUGUUAUCAAGUUAACAUUUUCUGCCUUUCACUGCACUGCUACUGCACACUGCUGCUCAGAGAAUGAAAUUAAGGGAAAGAUGCUCACAAAUGGUAGAUGCUGCAUGCUUUAAUAUGCUAAAGAGUUUUUUUUACAUUAAAAUAUGCUCUCUCUAGGUAGAUGUAAAAUGUAGAUGAUGAAAAUUAAAAUUUGUUUUAACUUUAAUUUGCCAUAAUUUCCUGUAAUUCUAUAAAGAAAAUGCUGUAGUGCCCAUUCUUCCAACGAGUCAGCUAUAAAUCUCAUCAGUUAAUACAUUUGUGUGUGUUUUUUCCUGAGUCCUAUGCUGAUCUCAGUUAUCUGUGUGACAGGAAGUGCACAGCACUCUAUUAAUAAAGAUUCAGACUGUUUCAUAGUGAUCUCUGUAGAGUACUCCAUUGUUGACAUUGCUGAAGUUGUGUUUGUAAUUAUUUGGAUAUUUGCUUUUGGCUCCGUUAAAACAUUUAAAUCAUUUCAAACCUGAUAAUACAGAAAAUCACAGGCAGUUAAGAUGAGGGACAGGUGGCAAGCUUGUGUAAUGCAUCUCAAUCUGAUAGAGAACCCAAGCAAUAGCUUCACAAGGAAAUGCAAUCCCAUCUCUAAAGAUCUGCAGAAACAUUUAAGAUAUUAGGAGUAAAUGGCAAAACUGACAUGGAUAUUAAGAGGUUUAGCUUGAAUACAAUGUAUGAAAAUGAAGUAUUGAUUGCUGAAAGCUAUAGGCAAAGAUCUGUUAUGAUGUACCAUAUGGCCUUCUGCAUUCAAGCUAAUGUUUUAUAGAUGUACAGUGAUUAUUGUAAUAAGGGCAUAUUUGAGUUUAGAAUCAGAUUUGAUUUGUAAUUGUGUGAAUAGCUAAAAAUUACUCAGUAUAAAAACCCAUUAACAAUGUAAGUAUCAGAAGUGUGGACAAGCCAUUAUAAUGUGUUUUCUUAUACAUAAAUAACAAAUAAAUUAUGCUCAACUUCAAAGUAAUGUAAUUUGUUGUUUAAAUCUCUGUUUCUGUGGUGCACAAGUUGUCAACUGAAAGCAAUACAUGCAAUAGAAAUAAAUGAGUAGUUACUUGAAAAAUGACAAAGCUAUCAAAAAUAAAACCAACAGCAUGAUUCUAUCCAUGUUCACUUGGAAGAAAACCUUGCUGGGUUUAAUGGGAUUUGCUUUCAAAUAAGUGUCCAGGUAAAUGCAGCAAAACUUGUACGUUAGAAGAUAGUUGCCAUGCCAAUAUUUAUUAUCUGCCAGAAAGAAUGAACAUUUAUGCUACUUUUACUGUUUCAAAUUGCAUUUUUAAUAUUGUAUGUCAUUAUUUUAAUUUUCUGUGAGCUACCCAGUACCCAUUAAAUAUAAGUAAAUGAAUUAAUAACUUUUUGUUGGACGUAAUAAGUGUUGCAUUGUUUUGAACCAAUUAUUGGGUGUUUUUUUGCGAUUUAUUUAUUGCCCAAACAUACAAAUAAAAUUGUACUGGACUGAGCUUAACUUUCUUUUAAAUACAAUUUAAUCUGCUAGGGGGAAAAGCAAAAGGAGCAAAAGUCAUUAAAUCCACUUCAAAACUCUAAGAAUAUUCUGACUUGUGUUUAGUUGUUGGCAACUACCUCCUAUAAUAUUUUAUAGGGAAUCAUUAUUUAUUUGUGAAACAUACCUUAAUUUCUAUCAGACCAUAGGAAUACUGGGAGUAUCACAGAUUUUGAACAUUUUGAUUAGAGAUAAUCUUGUGUCAGUCAGAUAUAUUUAUAUCUGUAUUUCUUCUUGUCAUAAUUUUAAAAUACGAUUUGGGGCAUUAAUUUCUUUCUAUUAGGAAGCAUAUCCAAAACAGUGAUUUGGAAUAGGCCAUUUACUGUGGGUUGGUAGUACAUAAUGUUAUACAAUCUUAAGAAUGCAACAGGAAGCAUACCUCUUAAUUUUACUUCCAAAUACUUUCCACUUCCCAGUUCCUUCCAUUUAUUUUGCUUUUCACCCAUCAAACACACCUUCCAAUGGAUCUUGUAGCCUCCAGGAAUUUUUCAAAUUAGUAUUCUUCCAUCAGUAUGCAGUUUUUUUGUAGUUAAUUUUGGAUAAGUGCUUCAUUGCACUCUUAACACAUAUACACAACUUUUU
Molecule: long non-coding RNA, 4398 nt
Filed under: Podarcis lilfordi (Lilford's wall lizard)
Lineage: Eukaryota; Metazoa; Chordata; Lepidosauria; Squamata; Lacertidae
Source: RNAcentral